CUAGUCGCAGGCUGUGAUUGGUCAUCAGCUAAUUGGCGGUUCUCUAUAAGAGCUCCCAGAGCUGGGGCUUAACUGAAGCUAACUCUCCUCCAGGCUUCAGUUACACGUAUGUUGUAACAUUGAGAAGAGAGUGAUUCAGCAACAUGUGAUAAAAAGUUAUCAGUGCCGCCGAGUGACCAGGCCAGUGCUAGGCAGGGAAGCCAGUCGCGGCUGAUUGGAUUAAUCUCUGGCUUUUAGGGACUGGAAUGAAACGCUGAUAGCUUCUUACUUUGGAGGACUUCUGUGGAGGGGGGGCGGGGAGUUCCUAAGGAUCUGAAACAAAGCUUUUUAUCUCCUGGUGAAGAUUGAUCUAGUGGGGAAGAGAGAGUUUCUAGCUAACGGAAGCUGCAGCAUUGUCCCCAGGAAAUAAUGCUUUAUCCAGAAUGGUUUGGAAGAGCCAACAAAUACCAGAACUGGAGUCCAUAUCAGAGUCUGCCAUCAGCCAAGCCCAGCCAGAACCCAGCCCAACAACAAGUCAACUCAGAAGCAAUAUAUUUUGCAGCAAGUAUGCAACUUAUCCAAUAGAUAUGCUGUCUUUGGAAGUAAAUGACGUGGUUAGGUGGUUGAAGCUACUACUUUUGGUUUGAGCCCAUUUCCCCCAGUAAUUGAAGGCUUAAGGGGAAAGGAUGUCCUGGUACAGGGUGAUGUUUUUAAAUUCUUUUAUUCUUGCUAUAUGUUUUCAAUAAAUAUCUCUCUGUAAAAGUUGAUUAAUGAGAUUUAUAGGAAGAUGGCAGUAUACUAGGACACAGAAAAGUCCAGAUUCCCCCAGAUCCUCAAUUGGGGUUUUAAUGUGUACUUUGCAAAGAAACAAAAGAAUCACCUCUAGGUUUCCAAUCCCAGAAUCAAGAGGGAACCAUGAGAUCUUUCAAAGACUUUGUGAUAGACAAGCCAGGAUAAGUGGAAGGUAGAACAAUGAUUAUAGAGUGCAGGUAGCCUCUGGAGACUUCAAGAGAAUCCAGCCCUUCCUGCCUGAACUCAAGUCUCACCCUAGCCUUCACCAAAGACGUUGGCUAUAAGAUUCUAGCUAGAGAGAUACGGCUCAACUUGUUCCCAGUGAGUCUAAUGAAACACUAGUGGUUCAAGCUCAUCUGUUCAAGAAAGGUAUAGGUAAAUAGCCCAAAUAGUCCAUGCAGACUGGGGAAGGAACCCUGUCAGCACUGGGGGUUAGGAGAUUUGAAGUACUCUAGUGAGAGCUUUUAAUAGGGAGAGUUGGUACAGCCCAGUUACAAAGUAUGCCUGAGGCACUCUGGCAUUUCAGUUAGGGAAGGUUCCAGAUUCUAAGGCUAUGAAAGAAGCCCACCAAUAGAUAACUGGUCAAAGGACAUAAACAGGCAGUACUCAAGGGAAGAAAUCUAAGCAAUCAACAAGUACACAAAAUGUUCCAAGUCUUUGAUAAUUCAAGAAAUACAAAUUAAAAACUUUGAGGUUCUACCUUAUAGCUAUCAUUGAUAAAGAUGAUUACAAACUGACAGAGGCUAGAGGGGCUAUGUAGAAAGUCAGGCUAAUGCACUCUUAGUGGAACUAUGAAUUGAUACAACUUACAUAAUUUAAAAACAAUUUGGAAUGUGCCCCCAUAGUUAUGAAACUGUAACUACUUUUUGAUUUAGCAAUAACACUACUAGACUUUUAGCCUAAAGAGAUAAAGAAAGUGUAAAAGGAUCCAUAUAUACCAAAUUAUUGUAGUGACUCUUUUUUUGUGGCAAAGGACUAGAAACAAAAAGGUUACUCAUCAUUUAGGUAAUGACUGACCAGAUCAUGGCCUGCAUAUAAUGGAAAAGUAGUAUUCCAUAGUAGAUGAUGAAAAGGGAUGGCUUCCCAGAAACCUGUAUAGACUUGACAGACUCAUGCAAAGUGAAAUAAAAAGAUUCAAGAGAAUAAUUUAUACAAUAGCAACUAUAACUCUUGGGAAAUGCAGCAACCAAUCAUGAUUCCAGAUAAUUGAUUGUGAAGCAUGCACUGACCUUCUAAAAGAGAGGUGAUGGACUCAAAAAUGAGGCAUCCAUUUUCAUGUAAGUUCAAUGGGGGGAAUUUUUUUACUUGACUAUGAACAUAUUUAACAAAGGUUAAUUUUUUUCAAUGAGGGUGGAGAGGUAAGAAAAGAGAGAGACUAGUGAUAAAGCUGUUUUAAAAAGAGAGAAAGGAAGGAAGAAAGAAAAGGGAAGGAGGGAAGAAGGGAGGUCAGUUGUUAAAGCAUUUUUAAAUGAACAAAAGACAAAUGAGAAGUAAAAAGUAAAAAACCAAGACAAAUAAGAAAGCUUUGAAAGUUACAUGCUGAGCUUAUGGAAGAUAAAAGGGGAUCUAUCAGCACAAGAUCUCAAACAGUACUAGAAUUCACGAAACACUAAAACAAUUUGGCACUGGCUAAAAAACAGAGGUCAAAGAUUUAAAAGAAAAAGCAAAUUUGAAGUAAUAGAGAUUUUCCAUUUCGUGUUCCAUCCUUUUUCUGUUCUACCUUUAAUAGAGAAAUACUCGUUUUGUUUAGUUUUUAUUAAGUUCCAGUAAAAACAAUACAAAGGGAAACAACUUAAAAAACUAAAGAACUCUGAUCCAUUUCAUAACAAAUCUUGACUUAGGAAGACUGAUACUUCUUACCACUUGGCAGAGAAGUGAUAGACUAGAUCCACAGAAUGAGGCACAUUUUCAAUUAUGGCCAAUGUGAACAUUUGUCUUACUGCACUAUUUUAUAUUUACAAAGGACGGUUUUUGUUUUGGAGGAUGUGGGUUGUUCAAAUAAGAGAGGAUACUGAUAAUAAUCCAUAUAAAAGAAGAAAAAGUACACAUUAAGAGCAAAAGGGAGUUCAGAAAAGGAUACAGAUACAAACACAGAUUCAGAAAAGGAGAUGGGGAAUUUUUCUUAGUAUUUGGUUACAUUUAAUAUGCAUUUUGAAAAAUAUUUUAAUAGAAGUUUCUCAUUUCAAUAUAGAAAAAAAGAGGGCUAAUUUGGUAGUUCAAGUAGAAUGUCACCUGGAGGUUUCUUGUGAUUCUGCAUUUAGCUAAUUAAAUUACUUUCUUUGAUAAUUAAGCUAGUGACCAUUAUCUAUGUGGAUUAUGGAGAUAUCAUUCCCCCUAACUGUGGAUAUAAGAUCUAAGCUAUACUCUGGGCCCUCUUUUUUUUCCUUUAUGCUCUUUUUUUUUAGACAUUAUUUUAUUUGGUCAUUUUCAUACAUUGUUCAUUGGAAACAGAUCAUUUUCUUUUCCUCCCCCCAACCCCCCCUUCCCUAGCCUACCAUGCGAUUCCUCUGGGUAUCACAUGUGUCCUUGCUCUGAACCCAUUUCCUUGUUGUUGGUAUUUGCAUUAGUGUGCUCAUUUAGCAUCUCUCCUCUAUCAUGUCCCCUCAACCUCUGUAGUCAAGCAGUUGCUUUUCCUCGGUGUUUUUACUCCCUCAGUUUGUCCUCUGCGUGAGGAUAGUUUUUUUUUUUUUUUUCGUAGAUCACUGCAGGUUGUUCAGGGACAUUGUAAAGCCAUUACUGGAGAAGUCCAUUAUGUUCUCUUGUACCACAGUGUAUCAGUCUCUGUGUAUAAUGUUUUCCUGGUUCUGCUCCUCUCACUCUGCAUCACUUCCUGGAGGUUGUUCCAGUCUCCAUGGAAUUCCUCCACUUUAUUAUUCCUUUUAGCACAGUAGUAUUCCAUCACCAACAUAUACCACAAUUUGUUCAGCCAUUCCCCAAUUGAAGGGCAUCCCCUCAUUUUCGAAUUUUUUGCCACUACAAAGAGCGCAGCUAUGAAUAUUCUUGCACAAGUCUUUUUCCUUAUUAUCUCUUUGGGGUACAAACCCAGCAGUGCUAAGGCUGGAUCAAGGGGAGACAAUCUUUACUCGCCCUUUGGACAUAGUUCCAAAUUGCCCUCCACAGUGGUUGGAUCAAUUCAAAACUCCACCAGCAAUGAAUUAGUGUCCCUACUUUGCCACAUCCCCUCCAGCAUUCAUUAAUUUCCUUUGCUGUCAUGUUGAACAAUCUGCUAGGUGUGAGGUGAUACCUCAGAGUUGUUUUGAUUUGAAUCUCUCUGAUUAUAAGAGACCUAGAACACUUUUUCAUGUGCUUAUUAAUAGUCUUGAUUUCUUUAACUGAAAAUUGCCUAUUCAUGUCCCUUGCCCAUUUUUCAAUUAGAGAAUGGCUUGAUUUUUUGUACAACUGGUUUAGCUCUUUAU
Molecule: non-coding RNA, 4187 nt
Organism: Monodelphis domestica (gray short-tailed opossum)
Lineage: Eukaryota; Metazoa; Chordata; Mammalia; Didelphimorphia; Didelphidae
Source: RefSeq, a predicted model, not a curated record